RNAcentral lists this signal recognition particle RNA (263 nucleotides) under Dehalococcoidia bacterium. RNAcentral describes it as "signal recognition particle sRNA large type". It matches the Rfam family "Bacterial large signal recognition particle RNA". Rfam says of the family: The signal recognition particle (SRP) is a universally conserved ribonucleoprotein involved in the co-translational targeting of proteins to membranes. Archaeal SRP consists of a 7S RNA and homologues of the eukaryotic SRP19 and SRP54 proteins. In most bacteria, the SRP consists of a 4.5S RNA and the Ffh protein (a homologue of the eukaryotic SRP54 protein). The record is from RNAcentral. Lineage: Bacteria; Bacillati; Chloroflexota; Dehalococcoidia.
CCGUGCUAGGCGGGGAGCUAGCGGUGCCCUGUACCUGCAAUCCGCUACAGCAGGGUCGAACUCUUGCUUGAGGCUCUUGUCCUGUGGGACUGCUUGAGCUAAGUGGUGCUGAAGGCUGGGUCCUGCGCGGCAGAGCGCUAUGAACCCCGUCAGGUCCGAGAGGAAGCAGCGGUAAAUAGAUGUCUCUGGGUGCCGCAGGAAUACCUGGCUGGAGCUGGCUGGCUCGAGCAAGCUAUGGGGCGGAGUCGAGGGCAGGUGCACGG